UGUGUAGCCAAGGUAGAAGGCGAGCAUAUAUUGCGUGCCUUCGAAAUGGGUGCAGAGGGAGUUUUCAUCGCUGGCUGCGGGGAACAGUGUUCCAGAGAAAACACUGCCUCUUGGGUUGACCAGCGUGUUGCAAAGGUCAGAAAAACCCUGGUGCAGAUCGGUCUUGAGCCAGAACGGCUUCAGGCCUUUGUUCCAAGCACCACCAAUGAGGACCCGACCAAGGAACUCGAUAAGUUUGCAGAACGAAUAGGUGCGCUCUAUUUGGCCUCGGUAAUAAUGCAGGAGGUGAAAAGUUGAUAGUUGCAGAGCAAAAGCCUCUAGAAGAGAUCAGGCGAAUGAUUGCGCCUUAUGAUAGGGUGUUGAUCCUUGGUUGCGGAACCUGCAUGACGGU
This 391-nucleotide ribosomal RNA is filed under the name uncultured eukaryote. RNAcentral's name for it is "partial small subunit ribosomal RNA". The record is from RNAcentral.